CCUACGGGUGGCAGCAGUGGGGAAUAUUGCACAAUGGGGGAAACCCUGAUGCAGCAACGCCGCGUGAGGGAAGAAGGAUUUCGGAUUGUAAAGCUCUGUUCUCAGGGAAGAAUAUUGACGUUCGUUAAGGAGCAAGCCACGGCAAACUACGUGCCAGCAGCCGCGGUAAUACGAAGGUGGCAAGCGUUGUCCGGAAUUACGGGGGGUAAGGGGAGCGCAGGCGGGAAGCCAAGUCAGCUGUGAAAACUACGGGCUUAACUUGGAGACUGCAGUUGAAACUGGUAAGCUGGAGUGAAGUAGAGGUUGGCGGAAUUCCGAGUGUAGCGGUGAAAUGCGUAGAUAUUAGGAGGAACACCGGUGGCGAAGGCGGCCUACUGGACUGUAACUGACGCUGAGGCUCGAAAGUGUGGGGAGCAAACAGGAUUAGAUACCCGAGUAGUC
Molecule: ribosomal RNA, 441 nt
Filed under: uncultured bacterium
Lineage: Bacteria
Description: partial 16S ribosomal RNA
Rfam family: Bacterial small subunit ribosomal RNA
Source: RNAcentral